UACAGAGGGGGCAAGCGUUGUUCGGAAUUACUGGGCGUAAAGGGCGCGUAGGCGGCCUGCUAAGUCGAACGUGAAAUCCCUGGGCUCAACCCAGGAACUGCGUCCGAUACUGGUUGGCUUGGAUCCGGGAGAGGGACGUGGAAUUCCAGGUGUAGCGGUGAAAUGCGUAGAUAUCUGGAGGAACACCGGUGGCGAAGGCGGCAUCCUGGACCAAUAUUGACGCUGAGGAGCGAAAGCCAGGGGAGCAAACGGG
Molecule: ribosomal RNA, 253 nt
Filed under: uncultured bacterium
Lineage: Bacteria
Description: partial 16S ribosomal RNA
Rfam family: Bacterial small subunit ribosomal RNA
Source: RNAcentral